AGGAUAAACGCUGGCGGCGUGCAUGAGACAUGCAAGUCGAACGGACGAUCAGGGCUUGCUCUGAUCGUUAGUGGCGGACGGCUGAGUAACGCGUAGGUGACCUGCCCCGAAGUGGGGAAUAACUGCCCGAAAGGGUGGCUAAUACCGCAUGUGGUGGUGUGUUCAUUCACACCAGUAAAGCCGCAAGGCGCUUCGGGAGGGGCCUGCGUCCGAUUAGCUCGUUGGUGGGGUAACGGCUCACCAAGGCGACGAUCGAUAGGUGGUCUGAGAGGACGAUCACCCAGACUGGGACUGAGACACGGCCCAGACUCCUACGGGAGGCAGCAGUCGGGAAUUUUGCGCAAUGGACGAAAGUCUGACGCAGCAACGCCGCGUGAGGGAUGAAGGCCUUCGGGUUGUAAACCUCUUUUCUCUAGGGAAGAUAAUGACGGUACCUGAGGAAUAAGCCACGGCUAACUACGUGCCAGCAGCCGC
Molecule: ribosomal RNA, 474 nt
Filed under: uncultured bacterium
Lineage: Bacteria
Description: SSU rRNA
Rfam family: Bacterial small subunit ribosomal RNA
Source: RNAcentral